CGCUAAAUAGCUAGCCCACCCAACCAAAAACAACAACUCAUUAUUAAUAACC
RNAcentral lists this ribosomal RNA (52 nucleotides) under Nannoperca australis (Tasmanian pigmy perch). Its description in RNAcentral is "partial 16S ribosomal RNA". The record is from RNAcentral. Lineage: Eukaryota; Metazoa; Chordata; Actinopteri; Centrarchiformes; Percichthyidae.